CCAACCUCGGCUACCCCCAACCCCGCCGCCGCCGCCGCUCUGAUCAAAAAAAAAAAAAACCCCCGCCGCCGCCUGCCGGCCUUCCGCCAUCGCCCUUCCCACAGCGUGUGCCCACGGAUCACAACCGUCGCCGCGCUGCCCUCCUCCCCCCACGCCAUGCUAGUGUCUUCCAGGCAACAGAUGCGCCAGGGAUGGGGCCGUUGAGUGCCAUGCCAGGUGCCGACGUGUGGAUUUCUUGGGGUGACCUCUCCAAUUAUUUGACAGCCACCCAGGCUACCAUCCGAGAAUCUUUGGUCUAGGUGGUUUGCUGCAUAUGCCCUUGGAAGCAAUGACAGUGUUUCUCAUAUCAAUAAUGUUUACUUUGGAAGCAAUAAAGUGACUUCGGCCAACAUUUCUAUUGUUGUUAGUGUGGGAAAUACAAUCUUAUACCUGGAUGCUGUUAUGAUAUUUUGCCGGUGUGUGAGACUAGGAAGAUAGAUUCUUGGGUCCUUCACAUACUUUGCCCACACGCAA
Molecule: long non-coding RNA, 513 nt
Organism: Panicum virgatum (switchgrass)
Lineage: Eukaryota; Viridiplantae; Streptophyta; Magnoliopsida; Poales; Poaceae
Exons: 3
Source: RefSeq, a predicted model, not a curated record